CAGCAGCCGCGGUAAUACGAAGGGGGCUAGCGUUGUUCGGAAUUACUGGGCGUAAAGCGCACGUAGGCGGAUAUUUAAGUCAGGGGUGAAAUCCCAGAGCUCAACUCUGGAACUGCCUUUGAUACUGGGUAUCUUGAGUAUGGAAGAGGUGAGCGGAAUUCCGAGUGUAGAGGUGAAAUUCGUAGAUAUUCGGAGGAACACCAGUGGCGAAGGCGGCUCACUGGUCCAUUACUGACGCUGAGGUGCGAAAGCGUGGGGAGCAAACAGGAUUAGAUACCCCUGUAGUCCCUGUCUCUUAUAC
RNAcentral lists this ribosomal RNA (301 nucleotides) under uncultured bacterium. Its description in RNAcentral is "partial 16S ribosomal RNA". It matches the Rfam family "Bacterial small subunit ribosomal RNA", at positions 509 to 807 of the family's 1533-position model. The record is from RNAcentral.